GACGAACGCUGGCGGCGUGCUUAACACAUGCAAGUCGAGCGGAAAGGCCUCUUCGGGGGUACUCGAGCGGCGAACGGGUGAGUAACACGUGAGUAAUCUGCCCUUCACUUGGGGAUAACCUCCGGAAACGGUGGCUAAUACCCGAUAUGACGUAGUCUCGCAUGAGAUCUGCGUGGAAAGUUUUUUCGGUGGGGGAUGUGCUCGCGGCCUAUCAGCUUGUUGGUGGGGUAAUGGCCUACCAAGGCUUCGACGGGUAGCCGGCCUGAGAGGGUGACCGGCCACACUGGGACUGAGACACGGCCCAGACUCCUACGGGAGGCAGCAGUGGGGAAUAUUGGACAAUGGGCGGAAGCCUGAUCCAGCAACGCCGCGUGAGGGAUGACGGCCUUCGGGUUGUAAACCUCUUUCAGUACCGACGAAGCGCAAGUGACGGUAGGUACAGAAGAAGCACCGGCCAACUACGUGCCAGCCGCCGCAGUAACAC
Molecule: ribosomal RNA, 484 nt
Filed under: uncultured bacterium
Lineage: Bacteria
Description: bacterial SSU rRNA
Rfam family: Bacterial small subunit ribosomal RNA
Source: RNAcentral